This 30-nucleotide non-coding RNA is filed under the name Rattus norvegicus (Norway rat). The record is from RNAcentral. Lineage: Eukaryota; Metazoa; Chordata; Mammalia; Rodentia; Muridae.
UGGAAUGGCUCCAGAGGGUGUGUUUCUUGG